Molecule: ribosomal RNA, 186 nt
Filed under: Triticum aestivum (bread wheat)
Lineage: Eukaryota; Viridiplantae; Streptophyta; Magnoliopsida; Poales; Poaceae
Description: partial small subunit ribosomal RNA
Source: RNAcentral
AUGACCAUUGCUGGACGAUGGGUACUUGUCAGAGCAGUGCUAACUGCCAUCCCAGUUUUUGCUAUGACCGUACUCUGUAUGCCAAAGAAACUUUUCAAGGAGAUUGACAAAGUAAGGCGCCGCUUUCUGUGGGCACAAGAGGAAGAGCUUUCUGGAGGCAAAUGCAAGGUAAAUUGGAACAAGGUC